Glycine soja is the source of this 513-nucleotide long non-coding RNA. RefSeq lists it as uncharacterized. The record is from RefSeq and is a predicted model, not a curated record. The transcript has 2 exons. Lineage: Eukaryota; Viridiplantae; Streptophyta; Magnoliopsida; Fabales; Fabaceae.
CCAACCCUAACGGCCCGCGCAAAUAAGCAUGCCUAUAAAUAUCAUCUCCAAAACCCUAUUCUCUCAUGCCUUCACUUCACAGAAUCACAGUGUUUCUGUUAGCCGGCUAGGAUUGGCAUGCCUCGUGUUAGUGUCUUGGUUCUGAUUCUGCUAUUUUCCAAUCAUGCACUUAGCCUCUGAGGAUGAUCAGAAAAAUACCUUUCCGAAUUGUUUAUGAGGAAAAUACAUGGAGACCUGAACUGAAGAGGCAAUGGCUAUGUAGUGGCUUCUUAUACGUAGGCAUUCUGGCUUCAAAAUAUUAACAUGUACGUCUAGUGUUUGUAUGGAAUAGUUUCAAAAUGUGUAGUUCUUUAUGUUCUUGUUCUUUUGUCCUUGUGUAAUUACGCUGGAUUAUUUAUUAUUGUAGAAUAUAGAUUUGGUCCAUCCAAAUUAGAUGAUUAUUGGAGACUAUCAAUGUUGUACACUUUGGAAGUGAAGAAAGCAGGCCCCUAUGGUUUGCCCGUGCUGCUCCAA